UCCUAGCCCGGAUAACAGUGGAAAUCCUUUUCUGGAAGCUUGCAGCCUUUUGUAGGCAGGAAGCUUCUAGAAAAGAUUGUAACGGAUAGCCGGAAGUUGC
Molecule: small RNA, 100 nt
Filed under: Flavobacterium glaciei
Lineage: Bacteria; Pseudomonadati; Bacteroidota; Flavobacteriia; Flavobacteriales; Flavobacteriaceae
Description: Flavo-1 RNA
Rfam family: Flavo-1 RNA
Source: RNAcentral